UUGACAAGGUGGUCUUCUUAGAUGAUGAUGUUGUCAUUCAGGGUGACUUGUCUCCUCUUUGGGAAAUUGACCUUGAGGGAAAAGUUAAUGGAGCCGUUGAAACUUGUAAAGGAGAAGAUGAGUGGGUAAUGUCCAAGCAUUUCAAAAACUACUUCAACUUUUCUCAUCCCCUCAUUGCAAAGAAUUUGGAUCCCAGUGAAUGUGCAUGGGCUUAUGGAAUGAAUAUAUUUGAUCUGCGUGCUUGGAGGAAAACAAAUAUUAGGGAAACCUACCAUUCCUGGCUGAAAGAGAACUUGAAGUCCAACCUGACAAUGUGGAAACUCGGUACCCUACCACCAGCGUUAAUUGCAUUUAAAGGUCAUGUUCGCCCUAUUGAUCCAUCUUGGCAUAUGCUUGGUUUGGGCUAUCAGAACAAGACCAACAUUGAGAGUGUGAAAAAGGCUGCUGUUAUUCACUAUAAUGGCCAGUCAAAACCAUGGCUGCAGAUUGGCUUUGAGCAUCUCCGACCGUUUUGGACUAAGUAUGUUAAUUACUCCAAUGAUUUUGUGAGGAACUGCCACAUCUUGGAGUCAUAGCUGAUCAACCAUAGGUCCAUAGCUGCUAGAAACUAGAGGUGGAACAGGAAACAACACCAACGAUUUUUGGUCACAUUAGUUAUUUCAUGGCUCAGGAUUUUGUUGAGAUCUAUUGAGAAGGCAAGCAGAAUUUUGUCAAGAAGGGUAGUGUUUCAGGUCUGAAUUCACUGUCAUCCCUCACUAUUGCAUGAUAAGGCCUGCAUAUCAAUAGCACGGGCAUGAGAUUCAUUCUUUUGAUCUGUAACAUAGUAAUCCGUCAUUUAAUUUUUUGGCUGGAGAAAGGAUACUAUUAUUGGUCUUCCUGCAGGAAGUCUAGCCUGAUUUCUUGGCACUUAUGUUUUCCAAUAAAACGAGAUAUACACGAGCAUAUGUGAAUAUAUCAUGCUGAUUGGUGCAAGGAAGAGGAAGGCUAGUAUGGGUCUUUUGUGAGGGCUGCCACAUUAGCCCAAAAAUGUUCUCCCUUCAUUUUUUUUUUGUUCUCCUGUUGUUUCAUUUUUGUUAGCAUUUCCCAUUUUUUUCCAGUUACUUUGAUAUCAUGAUAGUGAAAUUUUAGGAGUAGG
This 1135-nucleotide unclassified non-coding RNA is filed under the name Hevea brasiliensis (rubber tree). Lineage: Eukaryota; Viridiplantae; Streptophyta; Magnoliopsida; Malpighiales; Euphorbiaceae. The record is from RNAcentral.